This 113-nucleotide ribosomal RNA is filed under the name Pogona vitticeps (central bearded dragon). The record is from RNAcentral. Lineage: Eukaryota; Metazoa; Chordata; Lepidosauria; Squamata; Agamidae.
UACUGCUGUACCACCUUGAACACACCAACUUUAUUUUGGUUUAGAAGCUAAGGAGGUCAGGCCUGGUUAGUACCUGGAUAGAGCAUCACCAGGGAAUACCAGGGACUACGUAU